RNAcentral lists this ribosomal RNA (253 nucleotides) under uncultured bacterium. Its description in RNAcentral is "partial 16S ribosomal RNA". It matches the Rfam family "Bacterial small subunit ribosomal RNA", at positions 524 to 776 of the family's 1533-position model. The record is from RNAcentral.
UACGUAGGUGGCAAGCGUUGUCCGGAAUUAUUGGGCGUAAAGCGCGCGCAGGCGGUCCUUUAAGUCUGAUGUGAAAGCCCACGGCUCAACCGUGGAGGGUCAUUGGAAACUGGGGGACUUGAGUGCAGGAGAGAAGAGUGGAAUUCCACGUGUAGCGGUGAAAUUCGUAGAUAUCCGGAGGAACACCGGUGGCGAAGGCGGCUUCCUGGACCGACACUGACGCUGAGGCGCGAAAGCUAGGGGAGCAAACGGG